AAGACUACACUUUAGGAAACUAUUUCUAAAGUUCAUGACUAGAGAAGUUUUUUUAGUCGUGCAGAUUACAAGAAAUUACGAGAAGUCAUAAUUCUCUUCUAGGCAUGAAGCCAGUUCUAGGUGUUGCUUUUAUAAUUUUCUUUUAAAACUACCCUUUACCCUUAAUAGAUAGUUAUUUUAUUUCCUUAGAAAGGGAGAAGGAAAGUACCAGAGGAAA
Molecule: small nucleolar RNA, 217 nt
Organism: Suncus etruscus (white-toothed pygmy shrew)
Lineage: Eukaryota; Metazoa; Chordata; Mammalia; Eulipotyphla; Soricidae
Product: small nucleolar RNA U3
Exons: 1
Source: RefSeq, a predicted model, not a curated record